Molecule: long non-coding RNA, 1023 nt
Organism: Hemiscyllium ocellatum (epaulette shark)
Lineage: Eukaryota; Metazoa; Chordata; Chondrichthyes; Orectolobiformes; Hemiscylliidae
Exons: 4
Source: RefSeq, a predicted model, not a curated record
GCCAUUGAGGAGCAUUUACUCAGUGAGUACAAGAGGUUUGUUUGAAACAGACCGCAAUGGAGAGAUCAGCGCCCAGGGAAGCGAGGGAACAGCAGGCUCCUUCCAGCAGCACAUCGGGAUGGGAGCCUGGGACACAGAGGGGGCUCCGAGACCGGGAUUGAUUCGGGGCAAAUGUUUGAUGGACCAAUCCAAGGGUGACCAGCUGCUUCUCACACCCAGCAGACAAUUGCUUGAAGGACCAAGAUAGUGUAACACGUCCUCAGUACAAAGCCAACUGUGAUCAGUUCCUUCUAACAAACAGAGUCUGUCACAUCUGAGCAGAGUUUUGAAGGACAAUAAGCUGUAUCCACAGCCCCAUUGAUAGCACAGACUGGCAGGUACAGAGUACUUCCCAAGAACACAAAUCUUACCAGUGAAUGGAAGAAACAAGAUGAGUUCUGCACUCACAGAAGAACAAACAGUUGCAGACUGUUUGUGUAAUGAAGGAAUUGAAGGAAACUGUUCAUUUCUGGACAGAACAAAGAGUGAGACAGUGCCAAUACACAGUGGGUACAGAAUAACUUACAAAGUGCAGAAAUACUGUCAGGUCAAUAGGUCUGUUGGGGAAAAAAUAGAAAAGACAUGUACUCAAAGAGGUCUCAGUUGGGAGAAUUAGCAUUUUAUUAAACAAGUUAUCCAGGACAGUGUGAGAGUGUGUCAGCCCCAAUGUACAAAUGAACUUCCUAUGGAUUUUAAAUGCAUGUUAUCAACUUGGUCAAAAAGUAAGUUCUACUUGUUUAUUAGAAAAUACUGAACCUACUGCAUAUUCACAAUGUAUUACAAUUAAGAGGGAAAGAAAUAAGUAAAAAUCCAGACUAAUUAUUCAUCCAGUUAUCUCACCAUGGCUUAAACAUGCUGUCUGACUCUCUGACUGUAUCUAAUUCUUGUUGUCCAAACUGGAGGAAUUAAAUAGCAGGCCAAGUGCCAGAUUGAAACAAAUAUUGCAAUCUAAUUUGUUUCCACAAGGAGAAAGCAGAAUACAUC